GGCCUCCCACAGGUGACACAGCAGCUCCAGCAGCACAGGAUGGGCACCCAAAAAACACCAGCCCAGGCCGGGGACAGCACCUGCAGGACACCCCGAGGGCACUGAGCAGGGAAGUGGCAGAGGAAUGAAUUCACCUUCCUGCAGCUGCCCAGGGUUACAAGGCACACUGAGGACGCUGCAGACACCUGACCCCUCCAGAAAACCAUUGUGGGUAAUUAUCUUGGAGUGCUAACAGGAAGCUGCCAGUCAAGUCAGAGAACAAGUACACAGCAGCACUUGUUCUCCCCACUUGAAGGGCAAAUAUUUGUAUCACUGACUGAGUGGAAAAUGAAGCAGAACAAGUUCAUUGUUGUUGUUGGUUUGCCCCUCUCAGCCUGUUCUUCCUUUAAAAUGAGUGAGUGCCUGGGAGGAGAGUGGUCACACCUCUGCAAAGCUGGAAGUGUUUCACAGCUCCCGUGGUGCUAAAGCAGCUGGGAGCCCAUCUUUGUGUCUGACUGAGCAGCUCUCAGGGGUGGAAAAUAAAACCCCUCUCCACAAACUACUAUAAGCCCUCUUUGCAGAACAUACUGGAAAUUCAAUAGAGUCCAUGUGGUUUGAUCUGAUAUAAUUAAUAGCAUAAUCUAAUGGAAUUCCUGACCUAAUAAAAUAUCAAAAAUUGUAUAAAGAUAUCACUAAUAAUCAGUCUUUAAUAUUUCAGAUGUAUUGUUUUGUAUUUUUAACAAAAAUAUACUAUUUUAAUAUAUUGUUUUGUACUCUUGAUUGUGGUUUUUUUAUCCAAUCUGGCUGUAUUCAUCUUGACCAAGAACUGAGCACUGUCACUUAAUUUCACAAAGACAAGUCUUUGACUGAUAUUAAGUGCUGUAGCUACUAAUCAGAAUAUCUUGCUACAAACAAAAGAAAAUAUAAACAUUCACUGAUAUGAAACAGAUCUUGCAGACUUCAAUUCAUUCUGCCAUUUGAUGCCUGCAUUUACAAAUGUACUGGGUUCCCAAAGUUUUAAAACUUGUUUUUCUGUUCCCAGACUUUAGCAGUAGUACUAGGUCUGUGACUUUCCAGGCACAGGGUAAAAAUUAUUAUAUGAUAACCAAUAAUUCUAUAGUUUGGAGGUCAAUACAUUAUAUAACUAGGUGCUAAUUCAGAUACCAGUUCAUCUUUUAGCCCUUUGCAAUACAUUUUCAAAGAAACCACAACUGUGAGCAAGUUACAGACUGGGAGGCCACCACCUCCCACAAGCAUCUUGCUCAAGGGAACUUCUCAAGUUACAAUAACUAAAGUUACUCUAAGGUUCAGAGGGCUGUCUUGAACCUUCACACUAUUUCUGUAGACUGCAAAUAAGUGGUUUUUUGUUUGUUUUUUUUUCUAACAGUAUUGCUGCCUUCAGCAUUUGGCCUCAUGGGACAUUGAGGAAAUGCAAUUCCCCCCUCCCAGAUGUGAUAGUGGGAUAAAUAUAUCAGGGGGUUUUGUAAGGUUUUCCCUACUGUUAGUUCUCUAAAAUGAAGAUAUUAAAGUGUAAUUUGGAGGGGGGGAGGAGGGGGAAGAAGCAAGCUGAGCAGAGAAAAAUAAUUUCCUUUUUAACCUAUGUUCAUUACAGCUAGCAAAGAUGACAUUCAACUCAGCAGGCAGGAAAAGCACUCUUCAGUAGUUUCAGAGGGUGGAUUCCCUGCAGGACAGAGGCCCCAGGGCAGCUGUCUCAGCUGCAUCCUGCACAUCUGCUCCACUGCAAGGCAGCAGCAGCACAGAGUCAAUCACUGUCUGUCUAUAUGUGGUUUUGCUCUUUUUUCCUUAUAAUCAAAGGUAAGGCUCCAAAUCAAACAGUAUUUUCUGGCUUUUCUAUAUUGCAGCAGGCUGUAAGCCAGCACACAGUACAUCUGCUAAAAACACCAAAGUAUUUUAUUUCCUGCUUGUGCUGUCCUCUGCAAGAGUUGUGGUAUUGCAAUUCAAAAGUGAAUCUUUGCAAAGAUAAAGGGAGCAGCAAAGCAAUCCACAAUCCAGGACACAUUUUUACAGGGUCUACUUUAGAUUAUGUUAAAUAUAUGACCUUAGUGAAGAAUAUCAGCUUCAUUUCCAGAAUUAUAUAUUAAGUUUAUACUUGUUUUCUCUGGAAGGUUAAAGGGUAGAAUUGUGGUUUCACUAAGAAAAUAUUCUGGCCACUGUGCUAAGAUUAAGCCAUCUUUAGCAUCCAGAAUGGGCUUUCAUCAACUAUAGUAUAGAAGAAAAAAAAACCACCUCAAUUUGUAUAGCCUUCAGGCAAAUCUUAAAUGAAACACUGGAAAUUGAAGGUUCAAAUCACACCUCUAGGAGGUCUCCUUUUUUUCUCCCUUCCCCAACUAUCUUCUUUAUAGUAUACUUCUCUAAAGAAGUCAUUUAUUGCAUGUCAUUGAAUGUGUUCAGCUCAAAUCCUGGCAGUCACCUUUAGUCAUCUACCCAUUUCUUAAAUUUAGAUCUAGAACUUCAAUAUAAAUUAUUUUGUGGUUUGGAGACCAAAUUUGACAUACUUACACAUUCACUGGUGAGGAUUUUAGUUGAGAUAAAGAACUCUCAAAUCUCCAGUGACAGUAUAUUUACUCCAAAGACUUUGUAUUUCCAGAGCUAUGCUUUGGUUGACCACUAUUUUGAUUCAUUUAUGCCCUCCCAUAAUCAAAUACCGUGUCCCUGUGAGAAAUACCUUGUUAAUAGAGCAGUCCCAGACCUUGACUAGCUGUGCUGAAGGGAACAGGCUGGCUGAGGUAGCCUGAAACAUUCAGAAGGGCACAGAGUCACCCCUGCAGCCUCUGCUGGCUGCUCAGCACCACAGCUGGGCAGCUGCACUGGGCAGGGCACCUGUGCUCCCUUCGGGAUCAGUUCUGCUCUCACCAACGUACCUUGCUUUUGAUUAGCUUACUGAAAAUUAUGUGUAUAGUAAUACUGACUUAUGACACAGCAUCCAUGUCACAUGGGCAGAAUAUUGUACAUUCAGCCUCCCAAAAACCAAAGCACACUGCAUGUUGUGCCCUGAGGCUGUGCAGUACUCACUCCAGCUAAGAAAAACCUUAGGACAUGAGAACAGAAGUGCAGGAAAAGCUUAGAAUAGGUAAUGCAGAAUAAAUACACACUUUGGAGACUUUAGGUAACACUUAGUAUCUCUUCCUAGCCAGCAGUAGGUUUUCCAGCUAAAGGCAAUGCAGCCAGCAGUUCCAGAAGGUGAGAAAUGAACUGCUUGGCAAAUGAACUGCUGCUCUUACAGCUUUGAAUCACACAUCCUUGAAUCCUCAGAGCUGCCUCAACUAUUACAGACCUUCCCAUCACUUCCCAACUCUUCUGCAGUGUCAUCCAAGGCAGAUGGAAACCCAGCAGUGCUUCUCCCACAGACCCAGGCAGGGCUGUUUUGUCCAGCCCUUGUUUCACUGCCAGGGUACAACUGGCAGGACAGCAACUCCUUAUCCAAGCAUUAUCCAUGUGUUAUGUCAUCUCCACCAAGGGAUGGAGGAGAGGGGUGUGUGC
This is a non-coding RNA of Sturnus vulgaris (Common starling), 3480 nucleotides long. Lineage: Eukaryota; Metazoa; Chordata; Aves; Passeriformes; Sturnidae. The record is from RefSeq and is a predicted model, not a curated record.